UCAAGCGAAUAAGCGCACACGGUGGAUGCCUUGGCGGUCAGAGGCGAUGAAGGACGUGGCAGCCUGCGAAAAGUAUCGGGGAGCUGGCAACAAGCUUUGAUCCGGUAAUGUCCGAAUGGGGAAACCCACCCGCUUGCGGGUAUCCUGCAGUGAAUACAUAGCUGCUGGAAGCGAACCUGGUGAACUGAAAUAUCUAAGUAACCAGAGGAAAAGAAAUCAACCGAGAUUCCGUAAGUAGCGACGAGCGAACGCGGACUAGCCCUUAAGCUGAUUUGGUUCUAGGAAAACGCUCUGGAAAGAGCGGCCAUAGAAGGUGAUAGCCCUGUAUCUGAAAGGGCCAUUUCAGUGAAGACGAGUAGGGCGGGGCACGUGAAACCCUGUCUGAACAUGGGGGGACCAUCCUCCAAGGCUAAAUACUACUGACCGACCGAUAGUGAACCAGUACCGUGAGGGAAAGGCGAAAAGAACCCCGGAGAGGGGAGUGAAAUAGAACCUGAAACCGUGUGCGUACAAGCAGUAGGAGCUCCGCAAGGAGUGACUGCGUACCUUUUGUAUAAUGGGUCAGCGACUUACUGUUCGUGGCAAGCUUAACCGUAUAGGGGAGGCGAAGGGAAACCGAGUCUGAUAAGGGCGCAUAGUCGCGGGCAGUAGACCCGAAACCGGGUGAUCUAGUCAUGCCCAGGGUGAAGGUGCGGUAACACGCACUGGAGGCCCGAACCCACUCCCGUUGCAAAGGUAGGGGAUGAGGUGUGAUUAGGAGUGAAAAGCUAAUCGAACCCGGAGAUAGCUGGUUCUCCUCGAAAGCUAUUUAGGUAGCGCCUCAUAUGUAUCCUCUCGGGGGUAGAGCACUGUUAUGGCUAGGGGGUCAUCGCGACUUACCAAACCAUUGCAAACUCCGAAUACCGAGACGGACUGUAUGGGAGACACACGGCGGGUGCUAACGUCCGUCGUGAAAAGGGAAACAACCCAGACCCACAGCUAAGGUCCCAAAUUUUGUGCUAAGUGGAAAACCAUGUGGAAAGGCACAGACAGCCAGGAGGUUGGCUUAGAAGCAGCCACCCUUUAAAGAAAGCGUAAUAGCUCACUGGUCGAGUCGGUCUGCGGGGAAGAUUUAACGGGGCUAAGCACAGAACCGAAGCUUGGGGUGCAUAACUUUGUUAUGCGCGGUAGAGGAGCGUUCCGUAAGCCGUUGAAGGUGGAUUGAGAAGUCUGCUGGAGGUAUCGGAAGUGCGAAUGCUGACAUGAGUAACGAUAAUGCGGGUGAAAAACCCGCACGCCGAAAGCCCAAGGUUUCCUUGCGCAACGUUAAUCGGCGCAGGGUGAGUCGGCCCCUAAGGCGAGGACGAAAGUCGUAGUCGAUGGGAAGCAGGUUAAUAUUCCUGCACCUCGCGUAAGUGCGAUGGAGGGACGGAGAAGGUUAGGUGUACCAGGCGUUGGUUGUCCUGGGGAAAGGCGGUAGGUUUGGAUCUUUGGCAAAUCCGGGAUCCUCUAAGACCGAGCACCGAGACGAGCCUUUAUGGCAAAGUCACUGAUACCACGCUUCCAGGAAAAGCUCCUAAGCUUCAGCUUACGCAGACCGUACCGUAAACCGACACAGGUGGGUAGGAUGAGAAUUCUCAGGCGCUUGAGAGAACUCGGGUGAAGGAACUAGGCAACAUGGCACCGUAACUUCGGGAGAAGGUGCACCCUUUUUGGUGGCUCGUGCGAGCUAUAGCUGAAGAGGGUCGCAGUAACCAGGCCGCUGCGACUGUUUAUCAAAAACACAGCACUCUGCAAACACGAAAGUGGACGUAUAGGGUGUGACGCCUGCCCGGUGCUGGAAGGUUAAUUGAUGGGGUCAGCCGCAAGGCGAAGCUCUUGAUCGAAGCCCCAGUAAACGGCGGCCGUAACUAUAACGGUCCUAAGGUAGCGAAAUUCCUUGUCGGGUAAGUUCCGACCUGCACGAAUGGCGUAACGACAGCGGCGCUGUCUCCACCCGAGACUCAGUGAAAUUGAAAUCGCUGUGAAGAUGCAGCGUUCCCGUGGCAAGACGGAAAGACCCCGUGAACCUUUACUAUAGCUUUACACUGAACGUUGAGUUCGUCUGUGUAGGAUAGGUGGGAGGCUAUGAAACCAUGGCGCUAGCUGUGGUGGAGCCAUCCUUGAAAUACCACCCUGUCGUGCUUGACGUUCUAACCUGGGCCCAUUAUCUGGGUCGGGGACCGUGUAUGGUGGGUAGUUUGACUGGGGCGGUCUCCUCCUAAAGAGUAACGGAGGAGCUCGAAGGUACGCUCAGCGCGGUCGGACAUCGCGCACUGUGUGCAAAGGCAUAAGCGUGCUUGACUGCAAGAUCGACGGAUCAAGCAGGUAGGAAACUAGGACUUAGUGAUCCGGUGGUUCUGUAUGGAAGGGCCAUCGCUCAACGGAUAAAAGGUACUCCGGGGAUAACAGGCUGAUACCGCCCAAGAGUUCAUAUCGACGGCGGUGUUUGGCACCUCGAUGUCGGCUCAUCACAUCCUGGGGCUGUAGUCGGUCCCAAGGGUAUGGCUGUUCGCCAUUUAAAGUGGUACGCGAGCUGGGUUCAGAACGUCGUGAGACAGUUCGGUCCCUAUCUGCCAUGGGCGUUGGAGAUUUGAGAGGGGCUGCUCCUAGUACGAGAGGACCGGAGUGGACGAACCUCUGGUGUUCCGGUUGUCACGCCAGUGGCAUUGCCGGGUAGCUAUGUUCGGAAGCGAUAACCGCUGAAAGCAUCUAAGCGGGAAGCGCGCCUCAAGAUGAGAUCUCCCGGGGCACAAGCCCCCUGAAGGAACCAUGUAGACUACGUGGUUGAUAGGUCAGGUGUGUAAGUACAGCAAUGUAUUGAGCUAACUGAUACUAAUGAUCCGUGCGGCUUGACCAU
This 2878-nucleotide ribosomal RNA is filed under the name Stenotrophomonas maltophilia. RNAcentral describes it as "bacterial LSU rRNA". It matches the Rfam family "Bacterial large subunit ribosomal RNA". The record is from RNAcentral. Lineage: Bacteria; Pseudomonadati; Pseudomonadota; Gammaproteobacteria; Lysobacterales; Lysobacteraceae.